Long non-coding RNA from Drosophila biarmipes, 1997 nucleotides. RefSeq lists it as uncharacterized. NCBI's taxonomy places the organism in Eukaryota, Metazoa, Arthropoda, Insecta, Diptera, Drosophilidae. The record is from RefSeq and is a predicted model, not a curated record. The transcript is spliced from 3 exons.
AAGGAUACCCACAGACGGCGGGAGCAUACACGAAGAUAGUAGCGUAGCAGCAGCUCCAGAAGUCCGUACGAAGACUGCACAAUAGCAACGAACUUGCCACAAACAAGCCGGCGAGUGACGCUCGAUCUGGCAGGGCGAGAGCCAACCAGUAACACUGCGACAGGAGCCAAUGUUUGAGUCAGUGGGGCCACUUGCUGGAGGGUGCGCCUUCCCAACGUUCCACUUCCCUAGUGGGAACUCAACGCUCCCAGUGCCACUGUAGCGAACCUUUUUUUCCCCAGGAUUACUAACUAAACAAUUAAAACCCAGUUAGUAAUCGUUAAAACAAAGCACUAAUACGGAGUUGUCAUUGAUUAUCCGGCGGGUAAAGAGGAAGUUUCUGUUCCAUGCUGGAGCAGAGGAAUUCCGGGUACACAUUUCAAAAACCGACCGGAUCACCAUAUCUAAACACCCCCCGAAGUAGGAGGGGCAUGUGAGGAGUCGUUUGACCCCUCACAAAUAGCGCCAACAACAACCCCAGUUAGCGCCAACAACAUCGGCAGCCAGCGCCAACAACAACGCCAGUUAGCACCAACAACAUCGCCAGCCGCAACGCCCAAAGGCGUCGCCUACAACAACAGCCGCCAGCGGCAAUAGCAACAGCAGCCAGCGGCAACAACAACAGCAGCUAACAACAAAAACAAAACCCUCGCGAAUAACUUUGUAAAAACUUUGUACAGUUCUCUUAAUAUGUAAGCUUAGCCAAUAAUUGUAAGAUUUGUAGUUAUAUUGGUACACAAUAAAUAUCUUAGCUAAGCUUUCCCCCUCCGUUCUAGCAUCAUGCAGUAGCCACAAAAACGCACACACACCAGAAGACGGCGCACGGGAUCAGAAGCGGGACUUUUGCAAAGGCGGCGAACGGGAUCAGAAAUGCGAGCAGAGCUAAUUCAUGUGGACAACAGGAGUCUUUUGCGCUCGGAGUGCGAAAAGUGGUGCAGUCGAGUGACUUGUGCCAAGUGACCCAGGAAGCAAAGGAAGGAGUGGGACGACCUAGACGACCUCGAGGAGAGUGUGCCUGCCCAGGACCAGCGGCGGAGCACCCGGAUUCACGAGUGUGUGUGUGCAUGAGAGCGAGACAGAUCACGUGGCCAGCAAAUCACGUGAGGAAGAAACACAUGCAGGCAGAUAAUCGGAGAAGAAGAGAGACGAGAGCCAACUCAGCGCAGCCAUUUUGUUUUUCGUUUCACUCUCAUCGUCGUCUCUCUCACACGAGCAGGAGUCGAUCAAGUACAGGCAACAUGAUCACAUCAGUUUGGGGGCUUCUCAUAUAACCGUCGCCGAGUGCGUCGGCAGCUCUCUAAAGCAUCGUCGUGAAAAAUUUAAAACUACCUCGUUGUCGAACAAAAUUUAAUCACCGUUGAGAAAAUUUAGGAAUUAAAUCGUCGCUUGACAUCGGAUUGUGGUCACCAUCGUUGCACGUGGGAAUUCAGUAAAUUCUUGGUUACAAAUAAAAUAAAAUUGUUCGAUGAAGAUUUUAAUCAGUUCGAACCUCAUUUGACCCUCGUCCAAGAAUUUCUCUCGUCCUAUCGAAAUUUUCCCUGUCGUUUGCGAGUUAACUAUUAUUUCACAGCAAUAUGGGCGCGCGUUGGAUAUCGUAUCUCCGGAAGCGUGAAUUGGAGGCGAUUCUGAAGGAGUUUUCCUUGGAAGCAACCGGAACAGUUAAGGAAAUGAGAAGCCGGCUGGCUGCUUUUAAUAAUCGGGACGAUCACGUGCUGGAGAUAGCCGAGCGACUACAGGAAUGCGAGGCGGAAAUUACAGCCGCACUAACGGAUAGGAAGCAGUGUUCACCGACUCCGAACCCACACCCACCGGGUCCAACACAGCCGGUCAGCUACAUGUCGCAAUGCCAGAGUACUCUUUGUUGGGAUUGUGGUCGCAGAGGAGUACGCACUCUCGAGUGUUUCCGUCGAACCCAGCCGGGAAACGAGAGGAGUUUUCGCCCCCUCGGGGAGCGGACG